This is a long non-coding RNA of Acanthochromis polyacanthus (spiny chromis), 2535 nucleotides long. RefSeq lists it as uncharacterized. Lineage: Eukaryota; Metazoa; Chordata; Actinopteri; Pomacentridae. The record is from RefSeq and is a predicted model, not a curated record. The transcript has 2 exons.
CGCUCCCUGAGAGCCGAGGAAAGUUUGCACGCGUAUUUUUAUAAAUGUUGGCGGCUCAGUGAUGACGAGAAAGAAAAAAUCAUUUGAAGGAAAAAAAAUUCUCCUGGUGGUGUAUUUUUUUCUAUAUCACUGAUUACGGCCGUGUGGGGACCGAGCUACUAUUAAACUAUUGAAUCAUGGAGACAAGGUUGAAAUUGGACCGAAUUGCCUGUCACAUGAUUACCUCUGCCCAAUGACAAUUUGGGGUUUAAUCAAAAGAAGCCACUGUCUGCCUGAUUGAUCCAAAAACUCUUGGUGAAGAACGCCGCGCACAGCUGGGGCACGACUGUUUUAUUUACAUCUUUGUCCGCUGAGUUUAUCCUCCUCUCGCCCCUCCAGUCCAGUCCACUAAGCUACAAAAUGUGUGUUUUUAAGAAUGGCUGACGCUCACUAUUACAGGGAAGGAGCCCAGCCUAGGGUGCGCGGAUUCGUGCACUCCUCUUUCUCGUAUUGUUUGAGGAUGUCAGUCGAGAACGCCCCCACACCACACACACACACACACACACACACACACACACACACACACACACACACACACACACACACACACACACACACACACACACACACACACACACACACACACACACACACACACACACACACACACACACACACACACACACACACAUUUCACGCCAGUAGCUAUUCAUAUAGGCAAGACUUCAGAGGUGGAAAUAACCCCCCAAAAAUGAUAUUCUCGACAGAAACAAACCCAACAAUCCAGUCUGUUCACUGAGAGGAGACACCAGAAUACAUGAGGGUCUUUAAAGACGCAUAAUAAUGACAUAUGCAGUGCGUCCAUUGGCAUGUGUUGCAAUAAAAAGCCCAUCCAUUCACUUAAUACUGACGGAUAUGACACGUUCAGACCGUUCCAUCCCAUAACAGCAGUUUAACGUUUACAGCUAUUGUGCAGAAAGUUGUAAAACGGCCACACACGCCUGUGCGCACCCACAAACAGUCUUGUUUUAUUAUGUGCCAUUACGCGCAUUGUAAAUCUAUCAUAUUAAAGCACGUAAGAUUUUCGUUUAUUCCACUAAAGGUCAGUUUUGUAACCAGGUCAUGCUCGCCCCUGUGCGUGCACCUCCCCACAAACACGAGAUUAAACACACAGGAGCUGUUUCCUUUUCUGCUUUUGGGGUUGAGAAUUUUCGAUAACUAAAAGCCACAAUAACUCCUGCCUUCUCUUAAGUGUCAUCCCAGUGUUAGAAAUGGGUUUGUUUUCAUGGUAAUAGCGGGAAGUCACAAGGCUAAAGCAGGAUUUAUUGGAGGGACGCUGGCUACAGUGCUGAGGAAGGCUUCCCACUGUAUAUCCAUUAUCAGUUCUCACCUGAAAUUGCAACGAAGCAAACAUCAACACAGUUACAAUCGACCAUUUACAACGAAUCCAUUUGCAGCGUUAUUAUGUAGAUGGGGCUGUUAUUGAAUUGCUCUUCCCCGCCGUGUUUGGUUUCAUAGUUCUUCCAGAAUAAUCUGUGAAAGCCACAUUUGGGAUGUUUUUCGUCAGGCAAGUACGUGUUGUAUUUUCAUUCAAAGAAAAAAAAUAUGGCUUAGUGAGCAGGAGAAGGAAGAAGAGAAGUGGAAGGCCUCUCUCUCAGUUUGUUGCUUAUAUACCAAACAAAGAGUCCUGGAAGCCUGUGCGCGAUCAAUCUUACUCGCCAAAAGGUCUGACAGCUCGGUGCCCUCACAACACAUUUAAGGCUUCUAACUCUCCCCCGGAUCAAAUGCAGCCAGGAAGCGGCGAGAAACACUGGCCACUCAGAUUAGAACCCGUUUCUGCUCGCAGUUAGAGUCUGCUUGUCGCUGGAGGGAUGUUUUAAAAAGACAAAUAAGAAUCCAGCUGCACAAGAUGCGACCGUUUCCUUUUUCUGAGAGGGCGGUAAUGCGCCAACGAAUCUCCAGAAGGGCCCGGGUGACAUUUUAUUAUUAUGGAUGUGCCCACGCAGAUGAGAGGAGGGGAGAAGGGCCACACGAGAGUUUUCUACACGUCGAAUCAAGAGGAAAGGGGAAAAAAAUCAAGUAGCCUUUAUCAAAUAUUUGACUUUAACUGCGGCCACUUCCCUUUUUGGAAUUGAAUUAUAAUUAUGGUUAAUGAUUCUACUUUAUAUAUAAGCAAAAAAUACAAAUAUAUGACCAUCCAUUGUUUAUUAUUGUUGGACAUUUUUGCUUUAUUUGCCCUUUCUUGUGGUGCAAAUUAUCUUAAAAUAUAUCUGAUUUUUCACCUUCUGGUUGUUAUACCAGGAUUAUCUAUUAAAUAAUAGCAAGGAAUAAUAUUUUUACUUUUAAAAAUUUUAUAACUGUCUUGUAUUUAAUUGUGUGACCAUGUUGAAUGUUUCUGACAAUUAAAACUGAAGGAUAUUCUUUCAUUAUAUUUCAAUUCUUUUAUUUAUUUCUUCGAACUGGAGCAGCAUGGAAUGUAUGACAUCGAAAGAAAAAAAAACGGUGAUGUUUGUUUCUUUGUUCUUCAAUAAAGAAACCGUGUGUCCUUCUUUCCGC